GGGGCCAUAGCUCAGCUGGGAGAGCGCCAGCUUUGCAAGCUGGAUGUCGUCGGUUCGAUCCCGUCUGGCUCCA
RNAcentral lists this transfer RNA (73 nucleotides) under Agitococcus lubricus. It matches the Rfam family "tRNA". Rfam says of the family: Transfer RNA (tRNA) molecules are approximately 80 nucleotides in length. Lineage: Bacteria; Pseudomonadati; Pseudomonadota; Gammaproteobacteria; Moraxellales; Moraxellaceae. The record is from Rfam by way of RNAcentral.